CAUCUGGCAGCCCUGCAUUCUGUUUCUAAUGCGCACAGGAAACAUGCAGAGAUGAAGAACGGUGAAAAGCGCCACAGGAUUUCGUAUCCAAAGUACAAGGCGGGACACCAUGUCGUGAAACCUGUUAAAGAGGCCUGCAAUUAUGAUUAUGUCACAGAGCUAAUAGUUGAAUUGCUGCAAUUAAAACAACAGUUCAAGAGCAUCCGGAUUGCUAAGCAGGCAUCUUCUUCCAUUCUGUUCUCUCCACCACCAUAAGCAUCAUCUGCGAAGAAAAUUUUAAAGAAUGAAGCAGUGCAGUUGCACCGCUCUAGGUUUAAUUAAUUACAGUAAUUGGAAACAACUUGGCAUGCCAUUUGUCAUGUAUUUCUCCAGCUGGGUUUAGUGUACGUGCGUAAGGUGUCAUCCCAGAUUAGCCUGUGCCAUAUAUGUUUGUAAUUAAUUUAAAAAAUCCUCGCGCUGGAAAGAUGGGGCAAAGCGUGCGCAAAAUAUCUCGUCCCAUAUUAGCCUGUGUCCCUGAUAAGACUGUGCAGACUCGACGUGAAAACAUGAUAUGCCCCAAGUUUUAUAUGACAAUGUCUACGAAUGUGCCCUUUUGACAAAUUAGAACCUAGCUGAAGCACUGAUCACGUAUUGUUUCAAAUUAACAUAGCAACUACAAUGAUUUUUUUUUUUAAAUGUGAAUGUAUUAUUUUGACAAAUAUGCUGUAAUAAUACUUUUCCCAUUGUGUGCUAUACUGUUAGUAUAAAAAUGUUAAUGUCAACACCUUUAUUUUUAAAUGUUGGGACCAUGUAGUGUUUUUUGUGUGUUAGUAUUGGUCUGUAAAAGAUGUUUUAAAAGUCAUUUUGUUAAAGGUACUUAAUUUGACUCCAUAACAAGUUGCAUUGCAACAUUGUGCUAGUAAAGCUCAUUUACUUAUUCCGUCCAGUUUUCUAAAACUUGUCGUCAGGUUACAAGUUGUUCUGUUGUUGUGUCUGUGGUAAUUUAUAUUUUUAGAUGUUGCAAUAAACUUGUAUGCUACAUAUAUAUUGUUGUGUUGGAAUGUUUUCUCCAUUUCAAAAACAUCGAGAGUAAAAAUUUGACAUGCUAUUUCUCAUUAAUAAUAUUAAGUCACCUCGCUCGUGGAGAGUUUAGAAAAAUUCAAUUGCGUCAUAUUUAUAUAAAAUCAAGACUAAUUAUUAAAAAAUAUUUAUAAAAAAACAACAGAAAUGAGAUCAUCCAAACUUUGAAGUGAAUGUCGACAUAAAUGAGAUCAAUUUACCAUAAAUAAAAAAUCGUGUGCAGGAAACACAUCGGGUUCCAACAAAAUGGCCAUGUCAUACUAGCAAAAGAAAUAAAACAUCUAUUCUCGGUCAUUUAGUAUUAAAUGACGCGACCAUUUACGUAAGAAUUAUUCAUUUCAAAUCAACAUUAUUUAUUUCAACUAGUACGUUGUUGAAGUGUUGAACUUGAACGGUUAGUAAAUUUGGACUGGCAUUCGUACGUCGAUCAGUUUCAGGGAAUAAUUAUAUCUUUUCAAUGUGUCAUUGGUAUUGUCCUGACUGUAGGAAACUUCAGCAAUUCAGUCGGUGCGGCAAGAAAAGGAAAUGUACAGUGUAAAAUAAUUGUAUAGAAACUGUUGCUUGAAAAGAAGCUUAUGUGAUUUUUAUUUAAUGAUGCCUAAAAUGUUGCAAGUUCCAAACAUUGUUAAUAUUUAAAGUUUACUGAAAGUGUAAAUUUGUAAAAAAUAUUUUGCUAUGUUUUAAUAUAGCAAAUGUGAAAUAUGUACACUGCAUAUUUAUAUUCUUGGGAGUUAAGCAGCAAUGAGCAGAUUGUAACAGUAUAUUUUUAUUUGAAUUCAUUGGUUUGUUGUUUCAAAGUUGUUUGUGUCGCAUUAAAUCUUAUUAAUUGAUACCAGGUUUUGAAUUCUAAUGUGUUGCGUUCUGAGAAAACUGGGCAUAAUGCAUGUGCGUAAAGUGUCGUCCCAGAUUAGCCUGUGCAGUCAGCACCAGCAAAUCAGAGACAACACUUUCCGCCAAUAUUGGAUUUUUGCUGAGACUAUUUAAACGAAAAAUGUCAAAAGCGAAAGUGUUGUCCCUGAUUAGCCUGUGUGGACUGCACAGGCUAAUCUGGGAUGACACUUUACGCACAUGCAUUAUGCGACUCGUAUAUAGUAAAUCAUGGUACAUUUGUACAUAAACAAGUAAAUGUUUGUAUAAAAUUCAUAACAAUUAAGUACGCUUUAUGUUCAUAGUUUAUAAUUUUAUUUGACCAGGUUUUGUGUAAUUAUUUCAUAAGCAAACAAUAAUGAACAUCCCAUUAUACUGCCAGUUCUUCGCAAACAAUAAUAAACAUGCACUUAUUUUA
Dreissena polymorpha is the source of this 2344-nucleotide long non-coding RNA. RefSeq lists it as uncharacterized. The transcript has 2 exons. The record is from RefSeq and is a predicted model, not a curated record. NCBI's taxonomy places the organism in Eukaryota, Metazoa, Mollusca, Bivalvia, Myida, Dreissenidae.